UACGUAGGGGGCAAGCGUUAUCCGGAUUUACUGGGUGUAAAGGGAGCGUAGACGGCAGAGCAAGUCUGAAGUGAAAGCCCGCGGCCCAACUGCGGGACUGCUUUGGAAACUGCCCGGCUAGAGUGCUGGAGAGGUAAGCGGAAUUCCUAGUGUAGCGGUGAAAUGCGUAGAUAUUAGGAGGAACACCAGUGGCGAAGGCGGCUUACUGGACAAUAACUGACGUUGAGGCUCGAAAGCGUGGGGAGCAAACAGG
Molecule: ribosomal RNA, 253 nt
Filed under: uncultured bacterium
Lineage: Bacteria
Description: partial 16S ribosomal RNA
Rfam family: Bacterial small subunit ribosomal RNA
Source: RNAcentral